CUCUGCGGUUCUGUAGGGUAACUGCUGCUAGAGAGCCUAAUUGAUUUUGGAGUGCCGCCGGGUUAGAGUCUCCGCGACUGAGCUGGUCUCGGCAAGCGGUGCCCAACAUGGGGGCUCACAUCCGGGUCAAAGGGUCGCCGGAGCGACAGUUGGAGAACGUGAAACUAAACUGGAGGACACCCGAGUACUCUUAAGCAAUCCCCGUGCAGAGCCAGGAGAGCGUAUAGCACAGCUCCUGAUUGUGCCGUGAGAGUGGACAGGGCGAUGGCAGGUUCGCCGGGUGUGAGGCUUCACAGCGGUCCAGGGACCAAGUCGAGAUGGUGAAAACAAGACCAAGAUUGGAAAGCCAGCUUCAGAGGAGGGAAUUACAGCAAAAAUUGAACCAUUGACAGAAGAGUCUAGCAGUCUCAGAGAGAAUGUUCUCCAGGAUUCUGAAGGCAGAGAAUUCUGUGAAUUUGGGGAUAAAUUAAAUGAAAAAGAUCAGAACGCCUUUAAAAGGAGACCUCAAAACUGUGACAAAUAUGGGCAAAGCUUUGUUUGGAGUACAAGCCUUUUUAGGCAUCGAAGAACCCAUGGUGAGAAAGCUUAUGAAUGUGGUAAGUGUGGAAAGGCCUUUAGUGUGAGCUCAGCCCUGGUUCUGCAUCAGAGAAAGCAUGCUCAUUUUUAGAAGUCUCUUCUUACUGCUCAUUUUUAAACUCAUUUUUAAAAAUUUUUGGCUGGGCACAGUGGCUCACACCUGUAAUCCCAGC
Molecule: long non-coding RNA, 749 nt
Filed under: Homo sapiens (human)
Lineage: Eukaryota; Metazoa; Chordata; Mammalia; Primates; Hominidae
Description: HSALNT0290164
Source: RNAcentral